This 883-nucleotide long non-coding RNA is filed under the name Homo sapiens (human). RNAcentral's name for it is "non-protein coding lnc-PSMG4-9:1". The record is from RNAcentral. Lineage: Eukaryota; Metazoa; Chordata; Mammalia; Primates; Hominidae.
AUCGACUUAUUAGGUACAGUGAGAAGCCUUUGAACUUAAAAGACGGGAGGAAGACAAGCAUGCUGCUCGUGGGUUCGUCACACCCUGUUCUAUGCAACAAAGCAACCACAGGACGUUGCUGGGCAGAGGGAAGUUAUUGUGUGAAGGCCAAGGUCAUAACAAGGUUACCGUUCUCAUGAGUCUGGGCUAGGUCUGGGCCCUCCCGCCCCGCUCCCUGUAUCAGCCCCACUCCCAGGCUCCAGAGCUAGGCCACUUGAUGCCUGGUCAGUCCUUUCUGUGCCUUCCCAAAUUUACUCUCAAUUUCUGGCUCAUCUACUAUUCUCAUUUGCUAUUUCUUAAGUUCUGGGCCACGGGAGCCCAAGGUCUCACUCAGCCCUGCACAAACCCCAGCUCUCAAAGCCGGCGUCGCUCUCACUCAUUCCCUGUCUCCGCAUCGACACGGAGGAGCCACUGGAUAUAACGCUGAGGUAUUAAAAAAAGAAGGAAGUUCAGAAAAACAAACACAGUACGACAGCAUUUGUAGGAAGUUUUUUUUUAAAGGCAAAACUGUACAACGCAGUGUUCUAGAUGUGGGAAAACCUAACGAAACUCAUGAGGAUGAAAAACAGCAAACGGGGUGGGGAGACUUGUGGACAGGGGAGGGGGAGGAGGCGGGGGGCGCGGGAGGGGGAGGAGGCGGGAGGAGGCGGGGGUGGGUGGAGGCGGGAGGGUGGGACUUAUUAAUGAGGCUUGUUUCCGAGUCCGGGUAGCAGAUACACGUGACAUCAGAAACAUCUCAUAAUCACGAAAGAAAUCGAAGCACGCGUGCUCUCUCGGGAGGGCCCUCCUUCUGCGUGCCAGCCCUUGGGAUCUGGACUUCUGGCUCCUGGAAACAUUCAAAAGG